AUGGCUGUUCCAUCCUCUCUAGCCUUGUCCCCUCUGUCCCCAUCCCUGUCCUCUCCAUCUCCAUCCGUUUCCCAUCCCUCUCCUGUCCCAGUGCCACCUUGUCCCCAGCCCCAUCCUGUCCCCUCAAUGGCAGCUCCAUUCUUUCUACUCUUGUCCCCUCUGUCCCACCCAUCCCAGUCCUGUCCCAGUGCCACUCUGCCUAGGGGACAGACGGGACUCCAUCCCCUGUCCCAGUGCCACCCUGUCCCCCAACGGCUGCUCCAUCUCCUCUACCCUUGUCCCCUCUGUCCCUCUCCCUGUCCUGUGCCACCCUGUCUGGGGGACAGAUGGGCUCCAUCUCCAUCCUGUCCCCUCCAUCUCCAUCCUGUCCCCAUCCCAGUACCAUCUUGUCCCCCAGCCCCAUCUCCAUCCCCAUCCUGUCCCCCCCACGGCUCCUCCAUCCUCUCUACCCUUGUCCCCAUCCCUGUCCUCUCCAUCUCCAUCCCCUUCCCAUCCCUCUCCUGUCCCAGUGCCACCUUGUCCCCAGCCCCAUCCUGUCCCCCCCAUGGCUGCUCUGUCCUCUCAUGUCCCCUCUGUCCCCACCCCUGUCCCCCCCCACAGCUGCUCCAUCCUCUCUACUUGUCCCCUGUCCCCUCCAUCUCCAUCCCCAUCCUGUCCCCCCCACAGCUGCUCCAUCCUCUCUACUCUUGUCCCCUUGUCCCUUCUGUCCCCAUCCUGUCCAUCUCCAUCCCUUCCCCAUCCCAGUGCCAUCUUGUCCCCAGCCCCAUCUCCAUCCUGUCCCCACCAAGCCUGCUCCAUCCUCUCUACCUGUCCCCUGUCCCCAUCCCUCGCCUGUCCCAGCGCCACCCUGUCCCCAGUCCCAUCUCCAUCCCGUCCCCAACCCCACCCCUGUCCUGUCCCAUCGAUUGUCCCAUCACCAUCCUGCCCCUCAUCCCCCUUGUCCCCAUCCUUGUGUCCCCCCUCAUCUCUGUCCCCAUCCUUGUGUGUCCCCCCCCCAGCUACUCCACCCUUGUCCCCAUCCUUGUGUCCCCCCCCCCGGCCCCACAGACGGGACACGCUUCCAAAAACACCCUUUUUAUUUAC
Molecule: long non-coding RNA, 1083 nt
Filed under: Calidris pygmaea (Spoon-billed sandpiper)
Lineage: Eukaryota; Metazoa; Chordata; Aves; Charadriiformes; Scolopacidae
Description: lncRNA (ENSCPGG00000011316.1)
Source: RNAcentral